UCCAGGGGCGGGAAUCGAACCCACAACCUUCUGCUUACCGGGCAGGUGCCUUGUCCACACUUGUCCAG
Molecule: non-coding RNA, 68 nt
Organism: Cordylochernes scorpioides
Lineage: Eukaryota; Metazoa; Arthropoda; Arachnida; Pseudoscorpiones; Chernetidae
Source: the annotation of a GenBank genome assembly